CAAAUGCGAAAGUAGCUUCCGUAGGAGCGCACUUUCAACGUUCGACUGUGCCGGCGAGUGGCGAAUUUUUUAGUGAGUAUUCACAGAACGUGAUCGAUUUGCAAACUAUAAACAACACGGCAGAGCUCCUUCCAAAUUUGUGGUUUUGCGUCUUGAUGUUUUUCCAACAAAUGGAGGGGUCUACAGUUCAUACCAAGCCGCCUCCGAACCGCUGAGGGUUUUUUAUGAGUUGCCUUUAUUUCAAAUCAUAUAUGUAUGUACACUCAAAGGGCUUGACAAUCCCGGCCGAGGGGCGACCGAAAUUAGAAGAAUUAACAUAAUAUUUUAUUCCAAUUUAAAAUAAGUAAUUUGCGAAUGUAAUCAAUAGCUAAAUCACUUUUAUGUUAAUUAAUUUAUAUCUAAAUAAAUUACAACAUAUUUUCGAAAA
Molecule: long non-coding RNA, 427 nt
Filed under: Ceratitis capitata (Mediterranean fruit fly)
Lineage: Eukaryota; Metazoa; Arthropoda; Insecta; Diptera; Tephritidae
Description: uncharacterized LOC110118076, transcript variant X1
Source: RNAcentral